Monodelphis domestica (gray short-tailed opossum) is the source of this 849-nucleotide long non-coding RNA. RefSeq lists it as uncharacterized. NCBI's taxonomy places the organism in Eukaryota, Metazoa, Chordata, Mammalia, Didelphimorphia, Didelphidae. The record is from RefSeq and is a predicted model, not a curated record.
UGAGAGAACAAAUUAGUCACAUCCCUGGAGGAUUUAAAUCACUAAAUCCUGCAGAGUUCCAGACUCUUAUGGGGAGCUUUGUGGAAGGGAUCCUUGUGGGAGAGGAGGUGGGGAUUUCAAUCUCCUCCCUUGCCUGUGGGUCAUGGGAUCUAGCAGUGACUCGCCCAGAGGGAGACACCACAACAAUGGAUGUGAAAGUCUGUCAGUAUGAGAAUAUUCAAGAAAUAAUUGAGGGAUUAGAAACACAGACCCAGGUAAAGAGAGACAAUCACUUGAAGAAGCAACCUUGAAUGGAUUCCUUGGCAGCUGAGAAGAAGAGAAGAGUGAAUUCUGGGAAUCCAACUCAGGUGACUCACCUAGCAGAGACCAGUCCUCCCAAGUCAACUCUUGGUAGUCUCUCUAACUCAGCCACUUGACUGAUCACCAUCAUAUGCAGCAACAAUCUUCACCAUAUCUUUGAAUCAGGGGAAGCAGGAAGAAAAUCCCCCAAGAAGAUCCAGAAGCCUUACAAAUCCUCAAGGGGAGCCCAAUACCUCAAGAAGUGCCUCUUCAAUGCUUUUUCUUCCUUAUCCUAAGGUACCUUGUAGUCCAGAUCAGGAAUCAUAUCCUUGAGGACUUAAUCUUUCCAUCUUCAGAACUUCUGCCAUGAAGACUUGUUUUGUUGUAUCUCACCUAACUCACUAUAUCAGACCAGGUUUUUUUCAAGAUUCAGCUCAAAUGCCACUUUGUACAUAAAGCUUUUCCUGAAUUCCUUCCCCAGCUUCCAGGUCAUGAAGAGUUGGACACAAUUGAAAAAUAACAAAAUUGAUAGAUGAUGACUAGUAAAGAUAUAUCCAAAUGUGGACAGUA